UACCGGAAAAGAAACAAACAUCGCACAAUUGGCAGAAAUACGUCAGAAAGCCAAGGACAAACACGUUGUUGCGGCGGCUACAGAAAACAAAUAAUAUGGUGCAGCAGCAACAGAUCGGAGCAACAAAAAACUUGAUC
Non-coding RNA from Caenorhabditis elegans, 137 nucleotides. Lineage: Eukaryota; Metazoa; Nematoda; Chromadorea; Rhabditida; Rhabditidae. The record is from Ensembl.